RNAcentral lists this ribosomal RNA (364 nucleotides) under uncultured bacterium. Its description in RNAcentral is "partial 16S ribosomal RNA". It matches the Rfam family "Bacterial small subunit ribosomal RNA", at positions 338 to 699 of the family's 1533-position model. The record is from RNAcentral.
CCUACGGGAGGCAGCAGUGAGGAAUAUUGGUCAAUGGCCGGAAGGCUGACCCAGCCAUGCCGCGUGAAGGUCAGUGCCCUAUGGGCGUUAAACUUCUUUUGUGCGGGAGCAAUAAUGGUCACGUGUGGCCAGACGAGAGUACCGUACGAAUAAGCAUCGGCUAACUCCGUGCCAGCAGCCGCGGGACUACGGUGGAUGCAAGCGUUAUCCGGAUUUAUUGGGGUGAAAGGGUGCGUAGGCUGUGAGGUAAGUCAGCGGUGAAAUGCCCCCGCUCAACGGGGUGAAGUGCCAUUGAUACUGCCGUGCUGGAGUGCGGAUGCGGUGGGAGGAAUGUGUGGUGUAGCGGUGAAAUGCAUAGAUAUCA